This is a non-coding RNA of Echinostoma caproni, 45 nucleotides long. Lineage: Eukaryota; Metazoa; Platyhelminthes; Trematoda; Plagiorchiida; Echinostomatidae. The record is from Rfam.
GCACUGCUGAAGAGUCUCACACAGGAUGAAACAGCUGUUCAGUGC